GGUAAUAUUCAGUAUAGCAGUUUGUCGUCGUUUUGGAGCAGAUUUCCUCACUUUUUGGCACUUGCCUCCUACUUGAGUAAGAGGGGGAUAUAGCCAUGAAAGGAAUAAAAUCUCAUCAUUUUGUAGUUUAAAUCCGUGUAAUUAAGAAAAAAACGUGAGUGUCGAAUUAAAAAUUGUGUUUUAUUCUGAGUGAUAUAUGUGUGUUCAAACACUGUAUCUAGCGACCUGCCAAUAUAAGCUUGGUGUUUACGCAAAAUAAUUCGAUUAGAAUUGAACGCCAGAAUUAUUCGGUAAAGGGUCAUCAUGAAUUCAAUAUUUAAUUGGUUACUAGAUUCGGCUGUUUAGUAUUGCCAUUUAGUAAGAAACGAAACAUAUAUUGCAUACAAUCGACAAGUAAUACAGGGGGAAAGUAAUCUAAAUGAUACUUCAAUGAUUUCGGAACUUAACAUAAAUUCGGAGGAUUAUCAUAUGAUUUGUGAUUUCCAAAGGAGGAAACACUUGAAAUUAUCCACAAAAUAACUUCAUAAAUAUUAAAGGGAUAGGUGAAAUGGAGUAUUUAUUUAUUCCACGUACAGUGAUACAUAAUGCUUGGGCUAUUUGGAUUAAAAUGAGCUUUUUUAGCGGCAAUUGAUGAAGGAAAUGGUUUCCUCGCUGUGCCACCAACAUCGUUAACUCUUCAGCAAGACCUGCCGGCUGAAAAUCACGAGGUUCUCAAAAGGUUGAAAAUGUUGAAUCCCAAAAUGAUUUAUUAGUAUCCAGCUCUGAUACACAAGUUUCAAACUUGGUGCCUACACCAAUCGAAUCGAAUAUCAACUUUCCUGCACCAUUUCGGCACAGAACCCAGCAAACAACUCAAAAGAGAUCUUCAUCAAACCCAGUAUUGAAGCAACAAGGCACGUCGCAAGAUGGUGGUUCAUCUAGAGGUCAGCGAGAUUUUCGGGGAAUUCGUGAUGAUACUGAAGAUUCCAGAUGCUCAAUGACUUCUGGGCGCGAGAGUUCCAGCUCCAUCAUUGUGCCAGUCAACAUCACAAAGACCAAAUUCUAGGAGGAAGAAAAGCGACACAACGGCAUUGGAAACCACUUUAAUUUUCUUAUGACAGACAGCACAUCAAAGUCUGCAGAAUGAUAAUGCAAACCCUCAAGUCGCUGAAGACACAGGCGGCAGAUUGGCAAAAUUGAUAGUAGAAGAACUAAAUAAACUUCCACCUAAAGAACAGAGGAAGAGACGGCUCGCUAUGAUUUAAAUUUUAUAUGCACCAUAUCCUUGAUCCACACAUCUAACCAAAGUAUUUAACCAAAAGUGCCUAAUAAUUAAUUUUAAUCAUCAACUAUGAAAAAAGAAUUAUCGACUCAUUUGUACCACUUAGAUAUUCUCUCUGGCAUGGACGACAUCCAGUUAUUCUUAAAUAUUAAAUACUAAUUUUUUUUACUUUUUUUCCUAUAGGUUAUUAUCAACAAUUUAUGUUAAGUAAACAUAAAUGACACAUGAGCAAACAUUCGAUUAAUCAUAGCCAGUGAAUUGUGAAAUUUCCUCCAUAAUAAGUCCUUUCAGUGUAAAAUGUGAAGAGGAAAAUAUGGCUGCUUAAAUUUUGAAACGAAAUCACUUAUUAGCCAGAAAAUUGAAUAAUUUAUGCGUGGCAAAAUUACUCGGGCUGCAUGUGACAACUUCUAUCCAUGCUUAACUACGCAAUCGUCUUGAUAAUGAAU
This is a long non-coding RNA of Fopius arisanus, 1707 nucleotides long. RefSeq lists it as uncharacterized. The transcript has 5 exons. NCBI's taxonomy places the organism in Eukaryota, Metazoa, Arthropoda, Insecta, Hymenoptera, Braconidae. The record is from RefSeq and is a predicted model, not a curated record.